RNAcentral lists this ribosomal RNA (253 nucleotides) under uncultured bacterium. Its description in RNAcentral is "partial 16S ribosomal RNA". It matches the Rfam family "Bacterial small subunit ribosomal RNA", at positions 524 to 776 of the family's 1533-position model. The record is from RNAcentral.
UACGAAGGGGGCUAGCGUUGCUCGGAAUCACUGGGCGUAAAGCGCGCGUAGGCGGAUUUUUAAGUCAGGGGUGAAAUCCUGGAGCUCAACUCCAGAACUGCCUUUGAUACUGGCGAGCUUGAGUCCGGGAGAGGUGAGUGGAACUGCGAGUGUAGAGGUGAAAUUCGUAGAUAUUCGCAAGAACACCAGUGGCGAAGGCGGCUCACUGGCCCGGUACUGACGCUGAGGUGCGAAAGCGUGGGGAGCAAACAGG